ACGGACGCUGGCGGCAGGCCUAACACAUGCAAGUCGAGCGCGCCCUUCGGGGUGAGCGGCGGACGGGUGAGUAACGCGUGGGAACGUGUCCUUUUCUACGGAAUAGCCUCGGGAAACUGAGAGUAAUACCGUAUACGCCCUUUGGGGGAAAGAUUUAUCGGAAAAGGAUCGGCCCGCGUUGGAUUAGGUAGUUGGUGGGGUAAUGGCCUACCAAGCCGACGAUCCAUAGCUGGUUUGAGAGGAUGAUCAGCCACACUGGGACUGAGACACGGCCCAGACUCCUACGGGAGGCAGCAGUGGGGAAUCUUAGACAAUGGGGGCAACCCUGAUCUAGCCAUGCCGCGUGAGUGAUGAAGGCCUUAGGGUUGUAAAGCUCUUUCAGCUGGGAAGAUAAUGACGGUACCAGCAGAAGAAGCCCCGGCUAACUCCGUG
This 432-nucleotide ribosomal RNA is filed under the name uncultured bacterium. RNAcentral describes it as "partial 16S ribosomal RNA". It matches the Rfam family "Bacterial small subunit ribosomal RNA", at positions 29 to 507 of the family's 1533-position model. The record is from RNAcentral.